UACGUAGGGGGCAAGCGUUGUCCGGAUUUAUUGGGCGUAAAGAGCGUGUAGGCGGCCUGAAAGGUCAGCUGUGAAAACUCGAGGCUCAACCUCGAGACGUCGGUUGAAACCAUCUGGCUAGAGUCCGGAAGAGGAGCGUGGAAUUCCCGGUGUAGCGGUGAAAUGCGCAGAUAUCGGGAAGAACACCCGUGGCGAAGGCGGCACUCUGGGACGGUACUGACGCUGAGACGCGAAAGCGUGGGGAGCGAACAGG
This 253-nucleotide ribosomal RNA is filed under the name uncultured bacterium. RNAcentral's name for it is "partial 16S ribosomal RNA". It matches the Rfam family "Bacterial small subunit ribosomal RNA", at positions 524 to 776 of the family's 1533-position model. The record is from RNAcentral.